This 1380-nucleotide ribosomal RNA is filed under the name metagenome. RNAcentral describes it as "SSU rRNA". It matches the Rfam family "Eukaryotic small subunit ribosomal RNA", at positions 385 to 1801 of the family's 1831-position model. The record is from RNAcentral.
GGAGAAGGGGCCUGAGAAAUGGCCACUACGUCUAAGGAUGGCAGCAGGCGCGCAAAUUACCCACUCUCAGAACGAGGAGGUAGUGACGAGAAAUAACAAGACCGUUCUCUUCAGAGGCCGGUCAUUGGAAUGGGUACAAUUUAAACCCUUUAACGAGUAUCUAUGAGUGGGCAAGUCUGGUGCCAGCAGCCGCGGUAAUUCCAGCUCUCAAAAUGCAUAGAAUCAUUGCUGCGGUUAAAAAGCUCGUAGUUGGAUCUGUGCUGGCGGGUCGGUCCACCUUCGGGUGCGCACUGAUUUCGCCGGCUUUCCUGCUGUAUUUGGCCCUGUGCCUUUCAACGGGUGCAGUGUCCAGUGCAGCAAGUUUACCUUGAACAAAUCAGAGUGCUUCAAACAGGCGUUUCGCUUGAAUGUUCGUGCAUGGAAUAAUAGAAGAGGAUUUCGGUUCUAUUUUAUUGGUUUUAUAGACUGAGAUAAUGGUUAACAGAGACUAACGGGGGCAUUAGUAUUGCUACGUGAGAGGUGAAAUUCUUGGACCGUAGCAAGACUGACUACAGCGAAAGCAUUUGCCAAGAAAGUCUUCAUUAAUCAAACGAAAGUCAGAGGUUCGAAGGCGAUCAGAUACCGCCCUAGUUCUGACCGUAAACGAUGCCAACUAGUGAUCCGCCGGUGGAACAUUCGCCCUGGUGGGGAACUUCCCGGAAACGAAAGUCUUCCGGUUCCGGGGGAAGUAUGGUUGCAAAGCUGAAACUUAAAGGAAUUGACGGAAGGGCACCACCAGGAGUGGAGCCUGCGGCUUAAUUUGACCCAACACGGGAAAACUCACCCGGCCCGGACACCGUAAGGAUUGACAGAUUGAUAGCUCUUUCAUGAUUCGGUGGAUGGUGGUGCAUGGCCGUUCUUAGUUCGUGGAGCGAUUUGUCUGGUUUAUUCCGAUAACGAGCGAGACUCUGGCCUACUAAAUAGUUUACACAUUGCUUCUGUGUGCAUAACUUCUUAGAGGGAUUUUCGGUGUUCAGCCGCAAGAAAUUGAGCAAUAACAGGUCUGUGAUGCCCUUAGAUGUCCGGGGCUGCACGCGCGCUACACUGGCAAAAUCAGCGUGCUUGUCCUUCCCCGAAAGGGGUUGGUAAACUCGUGAAAAUUUGCCGUGAUUGGGAUCGGAAAUUGCAAUUAUUUUCCGUGAACGAGGAAUUCCAAGUAAGUGCGAGUCAUCAACUCGCGUUGAUUACGUCCCUGCCCUUUGUACACACCGCCCGUCGCUGCCCGGGACUGAGCCGUUUCGAGAAACUUGGAGACCGCUGAUCUGGUAACUUCGAUUGCCAUUUUGGUGGGAACCAAUUUAAUCGCAGUGGCUUGAACCGGGCAAAAGUCGUAACAAGGUA